GGAUGCAGCUCAGUGGUAGAGUGCUUGCCUAACAUUUGCAAGUUCCUGGGAUUGAUCCCCAACACCA
Molecule: transfer RNA, 67 nt
Filed under: Marmota monax (woodchuck)
Lineage: Eukaryota; Metazoa; Chordata; Mammalia; Rodentia; Sciuridae
Description: tRNA.Val
Source: RNAcentral